CCAGUGGGCUCGGACGGCGUUAUACCGUGAACCUGGUCAGGACCGGAAGGUAGCAGCCAUAAGCGGUCACUGAUGGGUGUCCGAGUCCACUGGGCG
Molecule: signal recognition particle RNA, 96 nt
Filed under: Coriobacteriia bacterium
Lineage: Bacteria; Bacillati; Actinomycetota; Coriobacteriia
Description: signal recognition particle sRNA small type
Rfam family: Bacterial small signal recognition particle RNA
About the family: The signal recognition particle (SRP) is a universally conserved ribonucleoprotein involved in the co-translational targeting of proteins to membranes.
Source: RNAcentral